CUUGUGAUUUUAUAGAGGUCUGAUACCCUCUAUUAUUGCUUGGUGGUUGGCCUCGGAUGCUAUCUUCGUGGCCAGCUUGCUUGAAAUUGACAGCCACCUUCUUUUGUUGGCCAUUAUUGCCGACACUUGUUGGUGUUGUCACAUGUGCUGGGCCCUUGCUUUAUCGCUUUGUGAUAAUGCUGGUAGGGGCCGGCUGCUUUCUUUCCACUCACAUUUGUCCUGGAGCGCUGAGUGGUCCUCCUGUCAUUCCACCCACUUUUGU
Molecule: long non-coding RNA, 262 nt
Filed under: Salvia miltiorrhiza (redroot sage)
Lineage: Eukaryota; Viridiplantae; Streptophyta; Magnoliopsida; Lamiales; Lamiaceae
Description: long non-coding RNA (SMIL_LNC004221)
Source: RNAcentral